CUGGCCCAGGCCGCUGCUGUACGGUGAGUCCCAGGGAGGCGAAUCUGGGCGCCUGGAAGGACACCCUCCUGGAUUUGCCCCGUAGGCCCGGCCCGGGCCCCUCGGGAGCAGAACAGCCUUGGUGAGGUGGACAAGAGGGGACCUUGCGAGCAGACGCGCGCCAGCGACAGCAGCCCCGCCCCGGCAUCUGGGGAGCCCCAGGAGGAUACGUCUUUGGAUUUUCGGGCCCGCAGCGAGAAGGGCCUGGGUGAAGUCACCGUGUGUUCGGGACCUUAGAGUAUGGGGCGGGGGAGGGUCCCGAUCGCUUGCAAGAGAGGCGUGUGUUUGGGUUUGAGGCGCUACACGGGAAGAUAUGGGAGGACGAGGCUUACUGGGGCGUGGAGGGUGUCACCAGCCUCAGCUGCAGACGUCGUCUCCACUCCCCCCAACCCCUAACAGCCCUUCCUCCUCCUUUCCGUGCUCCAGAUUUCGACCGCCUCUAAACAUCCGUCAGCACCUCUGUUCUCUCAUUUAAGUGUCUGCUGAUUCCCCCCUUAGAUCUGCCCUGGGGACUGGUAGUAAUGCAGGAACAGUCUGCAGGGAUUCUCUCUUGCUGCCUCAGUUGCUAGGGGAAGAGACUGGGCCUUAGCAGGUCUACCAGCCACAGUCUCUGCACGUUUCCAAGAGCAGCAGAAAAUGAACACAUUGCAGUCGAAUCCAGCGGGCAUUUUCUAGCCCCUACCUCCCAGGACCCUUUGUCUGCCUUUGACAUCUGUUACUUCCAAACUGAUACUUUCUCCAUGGAGUCUCUCUUUUCUUGGCUUUUAAAAAGAUUCGUCUGUAAGUAUUUCUGCUUGUCUUUAAAUGAUGAAGUCUGUUUUGUUCUGUUUCUUUUUUCCUUUUUUUUGAGAUAAGGUCUUGCUGU
This 904-nucleotide long non-coding RNA is filed under the name Pan troglodytes (chimpanzee). RNAcentral's name for it is "long non-coding RNA NONPTRT016005". Lineage: Eukaryota; Metazoa; Chordata; Mammalia; Primates; Hominidae. The record is from RNAcentral.